GACGAACGCUGGCGGCGUGCUUAACACAUGCAAGUCGAGCGGUAAGGCCCUUUCGGGGGUACACGAGCGGCGAACGGGUGAGUAACACGUGGGUGACCUGCCCUCAGCUCUGGGAUAAGCCUGGGAAACCGGGUCUAAUACUGGAUAUGACUCCAUGACGCAUGUUGUGGGGUGGAAAGCCUUGUGCGGCUGAGGAUGGGCCCGCUGCCUAAUCAGCUUGUUGGUGGGGUGAUGGCCUACCAAGGCGACGACGGGUAGCCGGCCUGAGAGGGCGACCGGCCACACUGGGACUGAGACACGGCCCAGACUCCUACGGGAGGCAGCAGUGGGGAAUCUUGCGCAAUGGGCGAAAGCCUGACGCAGCGACGCCGCGUGAGGGAUGACGGCCU
RNAcentral lists this ribosomal RNA (389 nucleotides) under uncultured bacterium. Its description in RNAcentral is "bacterial SSU rRNA". It matches the Rfam family "Bacterial small subunit ribosomal RNA", at positions 28 to 417 of the family's 1533-position model. The record is from RNAcentral.